RNAcentral lists this ribosomal RNA (500 nucleotides) under uncultured bacterium. RNAcentral describes it as "partial 16S ribosomal RNA". It matches the Rfam family "Bacterial small subunit ribosomal RNA", at positions 30 to 523 of the family's 1533-position model. The record is from RNAcentral.
AUUGAACGCUGGCGGAAUGCUUUACACAUGCAAGUCGAACGGCAGCACGGACUUCGGUCUGGUGGCGAGUGGCGAACGGGUGAGUAAUAUAUCGGAACGUGCCCAGUCGUGGGGGAUAACGUAGGGAAAAUUACGCUAAUACCGCAUACGAUCUAUGGAUGAAAGCGGGGGACCUUUGGGCCUCGCGCGAUUGGAGCGGCCGAUAUCAGAUUAGGUAGUUGGUGGGGUAAAGGCUCACCAAGCCAACGAUCUGUAGCUGGUCUGAGAGGACGACCAGCCACACUGGGACUGAGACACGGCCCAGACUCCUACGGGAGGCAGCAGUGGGGAAUUUUGGACAAUGGACGCAAGUCUGAUCCAGCCAUUCCGCGUGCAGGACGAAGGCCUUCGGGUUGUAAACUGCUUUUGUACAGAACGAAAAGGUUUCUAUUAAUACUAGGAGCUCAUGACGGUACUGUAAGAAUAAGCACCGGCUAACUACGUGCCAGCCGCCGCAGUAA